GACGAACGCUGGCGGCGUGCUUAACACAUGCAAGUCGAACGGAAAGGCCCUGCUUUUGUGGGGUGCUCGAGUGGCGAACGGGUGAGUAACACGUGAGUAACCUGCCCUUGACUUUGGGAUAACUUCAGGAAACUGGGGCUAAUACCGGAUAGGAGCUCCUGCUGCAUGGUGGGGGUUGGAAAGUUUCGGCGGUUGGGGAUGGACUCGCGGCUUAUCAGCUUGUUGGUGGGGUAGUGGCUUACCAAGGCUUUGACGGGUAGCCGGCCUGAGAGGGUGACCGGCAAUAUUGGGGCUGAUAUGCGGCCCGACGUCCUCGGGAGGGAGGAAGGGGGGAUUUUGGCAAAAGGGGGGGAAGCUUGAGCCAGCACCGCCGGGUGGGGGAGGAGGCCUUGCGGUUGUAAAACCGUUUGCCCCGGUGAAGAAGGGGGAGGGAGGUGAAUGGGUAGAGAGGCCCGGCCUAGCUACGUC
This 468-nucleotide ribosomal RNA is filed under the name uncultured bacterium. Its description in RNAcentral is "partial 16S ribosomal RNA". It matches the Rfam family "Bacterial small subunit ribosomal RNA", at positions 28 to 507 of the family's 1533-position model. The record is from RNAcentral.